RNAcentral lists this microRNA precursor (60 nucleotides) under Gekko japonicus. RNAcentral describes it as "Gja-Mir-208-P2_pre stem-loop". Lineage: Eukaryota; Metazoa; Chordata; Lepidosauria; Squamata; Gekkonidae. The record is from RNAcentral.
AAGCUUUUGGCUCGGGUUAUAUUUUAAAAUGGCAGCGUAUAAGACGAGCAAAAAGCUUGU